UUGAACGCUGGCGGUAUGCUUAACACAUGCAAGUCGAACGGAAACGAUACUAGCUUGCUAGUAGGCGUCGAGUGGCGGACGGGUGAGUAACGCGUAGGAAUCUGCCUGAUAGUGGGGGAUAGCCCGAAGAAAUUCGGAUUAAUACCGCAUAAUCUAUUCGUAGUAAAGUGGGGGACUUUCGAGCCUCACGCUAUCAGAUGAGCCUGCGUAAGAUUAGCUUGUUGGUAGGGUAAAAGCCUACCAAGGCGACGAUCUUUAGCUGGUCUGAGAGGAUGAUCAGCCACAUCGGGACUGAGACACGGCCCGAACUCCUACGGGAGGCAGCAGUGGGGAAUAUUGGACAAUGGGGGCAACCCUGAUCCAGCAAUACCGCGUGUGUGAAGAAGGCCUGAGGGUUGUAAAGCACUUUCAAUUGUGAAGAAAAGUUAGCGGUUAAUAACCGUUAGCCUUGACGUUAACUUUAGAAGAAGCACCGGCUAACUCCGUGCCAGCAGCCGCGGUAAUACGGAGGGUGCAAGCGUUAAUCGGAAUUACUGGGCGUAAAGCGUGCGUAGGCGGUUUAUUAAGUCAGAUGUGAAAGCCCCGGGCUUAACCUGGGAACUGCAUUUGAAACUGGUCAACUAGAGUAUGGUAGAGGAAAGUGGAAUUUCUGGUGUAGCGGUGAAAUGCGUAGAUAUCAGAAGGAACAUCAAUGGCGAAGGCAGCUUUCUGGACCAAUACUGACGCUGAGGUACGAAAGCGUGGGUAGCAAACAGGAUUAGAUACCCUGGUAGUCCACGCCGUAAACGAUGAUAACUAGCCGUUGGGGGGAUUUACCCCUUAGUGGCGAAGCUAACGCGUUAAGUUAUCCGCCUGGGGAGUACGGCCGCAAGGUUAAAACUCAAAGGAAUUGACGGGGACCCGCACAAGCGGUGGAGCAUGUGGUUUAAUUCGAUGCAACGCGAAGAACCUUACCUGGUCUUGACAUCCUGCGAACUUUCUAGAAAUAGAUUGGUGCCUUCGGGAACGCAGUGACAGGUGCUGCAUGGCUGUCGUCAGCUCGUGUCGUGAGAUGUUGGGUUAAGUCCCGUAACGAGCGCAACCCCUAUCCUUAUUUGCCAGCACAUCAUGGUGGGAACUAUAAGGAGACUGCCGGUGAUAAACCGGAGGAAGGCGGGGACGACGUCAAGUCAUCAUGGCCCUUACGACCAGGGCUACACACGUGCUACAAUGGGAAGGACAAAGAGCCGCGAAGCCGCGAGGUGUAGCUAAUCUCAUAAACCUUUUCGUAGUCCGGAUUGGAGUCUGCAACUCGACUCCAUGAAGUCGGAAUCGCUAGUAAUCGUAGAUCAGAAUGCUACGGUGAAUACGUUCCCGGGUCUUGUACUCACCGCC
Molecule: ribosomal RNA, 1374 nt
Filed under: uncultured bacterium
Lineage: Bacteria
Description: bacterial SSU rRNA
Rfam family: Bacterial small subunit ribosomal RNA
Source: RNAcentral